GUGGGGAAUCUUAGACAAUGGGGGAAACCCUGAUCUAGCCAUGCCGCGUGAGCGAUGAAGGCCUUAGGGUUGUAAAGCUCUUUCAGCUGGGAAGAUAAUGACGGUACCAGCAGAAGAAGCCCCGGCUAACUCCGUGCCAGCAGCCGCGGUAAUACGGAGGGGGCUAGCGUUGUUCGGAAUUACUGGGCGUAAAGCGCACGUAGGCGGAUCAGAAAGUCAGAGGUGAAAUCCCAGGGCUCAACCUUGGAACUGCCUUUGAAACCCCUGGUCUUGAGGUCGAGAGAGGUGAGUGGAAUUCCGAGUGUAGAGGUGAAAUUCGUAGAUAUUCGGAGGAACACCAGUGGCGAAGGCGGCUCACUGGCUCGAUACUGACGCUGAGGUGCGAAAGCGUGGGGAGCAAACAGGAUUAGAAACCCGAGUAGUCC
This 425-nucleotide ribosomal RNA is filed under the name uncultured bacterium. RNAcentral describes it as "bacterial SSU rRNA". It matches the Rfam family "Bacterial small subunit ribosomal RNA", at positions 354 to 796 of the family's 1533-position model. The record is from RNAcentral.